This 257-nucleotide ribosomal RNA is filed under the name uncultured bacterium. RNAcentral's name for it is "partial 16S ribosomal RNA". It matches the Rfam family "Bacterial small subunit ribosomal RNA", at positions 96 to 353 of the family's 1533-position model. The record is from RNAcentral.
UGGCGGACGGGUGAGUAAUGUCUGGGAAACUGCCCGAUGGAGGGGGAUAACUACUGGAAACGGUAGCUAAUACCGCAUAACGUCGCAAGACCAAAGAGGGGGACCUUCGGGCCUCUUGCCAUCGGAUGUGCCCAGAUGGGAUUAGCUAGUAGGUGGGGUAAAGGGCUCACCUAGGCGACGAUCCCUAGCUGGUCUGAGAGGAUGACCAGCCACACUGGAACUGAGACACGGUCCAGACUCCUACGGGAGGCAGCAUG